Cinara cedri is the source of this 277-nucleotide non-coding RNA. Lineage: Eukaryota; Metazoa; Arthropoda; Insecta; Hemiptera; Aphididae. The record is from the annotation of a GenBank genome assembly.
UUGGCUUAGCUUGGUUAAUUAUUUUUAUGAUAACUUAAACCAAUUGAUCACAGUUGAUUAUGAUAUUCAGCUUUAGGUAAAGGUACUUAUGUACUUUUUUUUGAAACGUAGAAUUUUCUGCACGAUAUUAUCGAUUCCAAAAAAUACAUUACAGAUCUAUUCCUAUGCAGUGUCAGUUCCUACAGAAAUAUAAAAUAAAUAUAAGCUUCUUCAGUUAUCUGCAAAACUCCAAUGACCCGUCCGAAUCGCAAUACACAGGUCAUCUAAUGGAUUCACU